RNAcentral lists this ribosomal RNA (467 nucleotides) under uncultured bacterium. RNAcentral's name for it is "partial 16S ribosomal RNA". It matches the Rfam family "Bacterial small subunit ribosomal RNA", at positions 28 to 506 of the family's 1533-position model. The record is from RNAcentral.
GACGAACGCUGGCGGCGUGCUUAACACAUGCAAGUCGAACGGAAAGGCCCUGCUUUUGUGGGGUGCUCGAGUGGCGAACGGGUGAGUAACACGUGAGUAACCUGCCCCUGACUUUGGGAUAACUUCAGGAAACUGGGGCUAAUACCGGAUAGGAGCUCCUGCUGCAUGGUGGGGGUUGGAAAGUUUCGGCGGUUGGGGAUGGACUCGCGGCUUAUCAGCUUGUUGGUGGGGUAGUGGCUUACCAAGGCUUUGACGGGUAGCCGGCCUGAGAGGGUGACCGGCAAAAUGGGGAAGGAGAAACGGCCGAGACUCCUAGGGGGGGCAAAGGGGGGGAAAAUUGCAAAAGGGGGGGAAGGCGGAGGCGGCAACCCCGGGGGGGGGAGGAGGGCCUUGGGGUUGAAAACCGCUUUCGCCGGGGACGAAGGGGGGGGGGGGGUAAUGGGAAAAGAAGCACCGGCAAACUAGGU